RNAcentral lists this ribosomal RNA (110 nucleotides) under Paenibacillus agri. Its description in RNAcentral is "Paenibacillus sp. JW14 partial 16S ribosomal RNA". It matches the Rfam family "Bacterial small subunit ribosomal RNA", at positions 1435 to 1533 of the family's 1533-position model. Lineage: Bacteria; Bacillati; Bacillota; Bacilli; Caryophanales; Paenibacillaceae. The record is from RNAcentral.
GUAACCCGCAAGGGAGCCAGCCGCCGAAGGUGGGGUAGAUGAUUGGGGUGAAGUCGUAACAAGGUAGCCGUAUCGGAAGGUGCGGCUGGAUCACCUCCUUUCUAUGGAGA